Molecule: ribosomal RNA, 429 nt
Filed under: Fusobacteriota bacterium
Lineage: Bacteria; Fusobacteriati; Fusobacteriota
Description: Fusobacteria bacterium partial 16S ribosomal RNA
Rfam family: Bacterial small subunit ribosomal RNA
Source: RNAcentral
UGGGGAAUCUUCCGCAAUGGACGAAAGUCUGACGGAGCAACGCCGCGUGAGUGAAGACGGCCUUCGGGUUGUAAAGCUCUGUGAUCCGGGACGAAAGAGCCUGAGGUAAAUAGCCUAAGGAAGUGACGGUACCGGAAAAGCAAGCCACGGCUAACUACGUGCCAGCAGCCGCGGUAAUACGUAGGUGGCAAGCGUUGUCCGGAAUUAUUGGGCGUAAAGCGCGCGCAGGCGGCUUCCUAAGUCCAUCUUAAAAGUGCGGGGCUUAACCCCGUGAUGGGAUGGAAACUGGGAAGCUGGAGUAUCGGAGAGGAAAGUUGAAUUCCUAGUGUAGCGGUGAAAUGCGUAGAGAUUAGGAAGAACACCGGUUGCGAAGGCGACUUUCUGGACGAAAACUGACGCUGAGGCGCGAAAGCGUGGGGAGCAAACAGG